RNAcentral lists this long non-coding RNA (829 nucleotides) under Equus asinus (donkey). RNAcentral describes it as "lncRNA (ENSEASG00005037291.1)". The record is from RNAcentral. Lineage: Eukaryota; Metazoa; Chordata; Mammalia; Perissodactyla; Equidae.
CUAGGGCCAAUUCCUUUAAUCAACAGGAGCACAUCUGUACAAAGAGUGGGUAGGCAGUAAGUUUCCACCCCCUUAAAAUACCUCCAGUUGUACACAGCACACACGGGAAUGGGUUCCCCCAAUACCGCAGAUUUCCUCUCACAGAAAGCUUCCACGUGAAGCACGUGAAAAAAUGGAGAGUGUCUUUCUUCCCCGGAGUCCCCAGUCUGUGUGGGAACGUGGCCGAUGCCGUCCUCCUCCUGGCAUGCAGGAUGUCACUUGGCCCACAGUUGCAUGCCUGCCUCUGGCACUUGUUUCUGACCCCGCUUCUUUUCUGCUGUGCAAAACCUUUCCCGAGACAGAACAUCCAUAUUCCAGCUUGCUUGCUGCCUGCUCUGCCACUCCAUCUGCCACCAGCAUCUUCGCAGUGUCACCAAGCUCUCAUCUGGCUUCCUGAGCAGCUCCGUCAGCAUUGCGGCCGUGACAGCACACAGGGACCGGCAGAAGACAAUCACCACAGCAAAGCCUGGACUGCAGCUGUUCUGCACAAAGCUCUAGCAGCUGUCACAGGGCCUGCCUCUGCAGUUUGCCCCUGGGAGUCGAUAAGGAGAGCAGUUAUCAGUCUGAUGGCCUCUCUGCCCUCAGUCACACCGCCCGCCACACACUGGAUCAGAAUCCGUCCUCAAGACAGACCACAAAGCGGCAGACUGAGUUGUGGAGACACUGAGCACAGCUAAAUCAGAUCUCUGCCAGGCAAGAGCCACUUAAGCCAUCCGAAUCUCAGUCCUUCACUGCAAAACAGAAAAGGAGAUGGAACUAGACUCACAUGCCUCACCCCUCACUCAUCAGG